AGUGAACGCUGGCGGUAGGCCUAACACAUGCAAGUCGAACGGCAGCACAGUAAGAGCUUGCUCUUACGGGUGGCGAGUGGCGGACGGGUGAGGAAUACAUCGGAAUCUACUUUUUCGUGGGGGAUAACGUAGGGAAACUUACGCUAAUACCGCAUACGACCUACGGUUGAAAGCAGGGGAUCUUCGUACCUUGCGCGAUUGAAUGAGCCGAUGUCGGAUUAGCUAGUUGGCGGGGUAAAGGCCCACCAAGGCGACGCUCCGUAGCUGGUCUGAGAGGAUGAUCAGCCACACUGGAACUGAGACACGGUCCAGACUCCUACGGGAGGCAGCAGUGGGGAAUAUUGGACAAUGGGCGCAAGCCUGAUCCAGCCAUACCGCGUGGGUGAAGAAGGCCUUCGGGUUGUAAAGCCCUUUUGUUGGGAAAGAAAAGCAGCAGGUUAAUACCCCGCUGUUCUGACGGUACCCAAAGAAUAAGCACCGGCUAACUUCGUG
Molecule: ribosomal RNA, 492 nt
Filed under: uncultured bacterium
Lineage: Bacteria
Description: partial 16S ribosomal RNA
Rfam family: Bacterial small subunit ribosomal RNA
Source: RNAcentral